Molecule: long non-coding RNA, 817 nt
Organism: Protopterus annectens (West African lungfish)
Lineage: Eukaryota; Metazoa; Chordata; Ceratodontiformes; Protopteridae
Exons: 3
Source: RefSeq, a predicted model, not a curated record
AAAGCAGCAAGAAGAAAACUUCGGAAAAGAAAAGACUCUGAUGAAGAUGAAAAAGUGGUGUUCCUUAAGCAAAGUGGGAGUGAAGAUGAGUUUGAUCCAGAUACACUUCCUGAUCCCAACAAGUACAAAGACUCUGACCAAGAGGGUGAUAAAAGCAGUCAGGAAGAAAAGAGCUUGGUACAUGAAAAGGCACAGAGGAAGAGGGUGUACAGUUUAAGCAGUGACAACCAGGAGGGAGAAAACCCUCAGAAAAGGAAGAAGAAGAUAAAGCCUAGAAAAGUACAAGAGUUCACACCACUGGAUACAGGUCUCUCCUUGGCAGAAGACGAGGAGCUAGCUAUACGGCUGCUCAUGAGAUAAUUGUGUUUCCUUUGCUGUUUUAUAGUUAAUCAGUUGUACAGGGAGUUUUCAUGAAACUGAUUUAAAAUCAGUAGGUGACUACAACUGGACAUUGAUCAAUGUGUAUCCUGCAUGUUGGGACAGAUGUAAUAGUUAUUCAUGUUGUGUAAAUUUUUAAUCUGCCUUGUGCACAUGCUGGAUAGCUACUCAGACUUAGUUUUAUAAAGCAAAAAUUACUGUCAGAAUACCUGUACAUCAGCAGACAGUCUGGUAUAGAAGAUACUCUGUUACGUCAGAAGACAAAUAUGUGCCUUUUUCUUCCUUUGAAAGGAUAACUCAAAGUGCAACAUUUCCAGUAUUUCAUAUUUUAAAGAAAGUAAUGUAUUUAUGAAAAGCUGAUCAACUUGUUUAAUGUAAAGUUUAGUUAAAAUGUUUAUAGCAAAUUAUAUAUUGGUUGAUGAAAUUUUUCAAAGUUAAA